AGAGUUUGAUCCUGGCUCAGAAUGAACGUUGGCGGCGUGGAUUAGGCAUGCAAGUCGAGCGAGAAGCCUCCUUCGGGAGGUGGACAGCGGCAAACGGGAUAGUAAGGCAUCGGUAACGCACCCCCAGGACCGGGAUAGCCGAGGGAAACUUCGGGUAAUACCGGAUAAUAUCUCCGGAUCAAAUGGUGAGAUUCCGCCUGGGGACCGGCUGAUGUGAUACCAGCUAGUUGGUAAGGUAACGGCUUACCAAGGCUUAGACGUCUAGGGGGUGUGAGAGCAUGGCCCCCAUCACUGGGACUGAGACACUGCCCAGACACCUACGGGUGGCUGCAGUCGAGAAUCUUCGGCAAUGGGCGAAAGCCUGACCGAGCGACGCCGCGUGCGGGAUGACGGCCCUUGGGUUGUAAACCGCUGUCAGAGGGGAUGAAAUUCCUGGGAGCUAUCUCCCAGGAUUGACAAAGCCUCAGA
Molecule: ribosomal RNA, 468 nt
Filed under: uncultured bacterium
Lineage: Bacteria
Description: bacterial SSU rRNA
Rfam family: Bacterial small subunit ribosomal RNA
Source: RNAcentral